Molecule: ribosomal RNA, 484 nt
Filed under: uncultured bacterium
Lineage: Bacteria
Description: partial 16S ribosomal RNA
Rfam family: Bacterial small subunit ribosomal RNA
Source: RNAcentral
AUUGAACGCUGGCGGCAGGCCUAACACAUGCAAGUCGAGCGGAUGAAGGGAGCUUGCUCCUGGAUUCAGCGGCGGACGGGUGAGUAAUGCCUAGGAAUCUGCCUGGUAGUGGGGGAUAACGUCCGGAAACGGGCGCUAAUACCGCAUACGUCCUGAGGGAGAAAGUGGGGGAGCUUCGGACCUCACGCUAUCAGAUGAGCCUAGGUCGGAUUAGCUAGUUGGUGGGGUAAACGCCUACCAAGGCGACGAUCCGUAACUGGUCUGAGAGGAUGAUCAGUCACCCUGGAACUGAGACACGGUCCAGACUCCUACGGGAGGCAGCAGUGGGGAAUAUUGGACAAUGGGCGAAAGCCUGAUCCAGCCAUGCCGCGUGUGUGAAGAAGGUCUUCGGAUUGUAAAGCACUUUAAGUUGGGAGGAAGGGCAGUAAGUUAAUACCUUGCUGUUUUGACGUUACCAACAGAAUAAGCACCGGCUAACUUCGUG